UACCAGGGGCCUUCCAUACUGAAUGGUUCAAGAUCGCCAAACAGUCAAAGAUCUGAUUUCCAAUGGUUGUCUUCAACCAUUGUGAAAUGUUUUUAUACCUAAUAAUGUUCCAUUGGUGAUUGAGACCGAGCAUUUGAUUGUAUUUCAUUUUGUCACACUUUUCUUGGCAUUGUUGUUUCUAGAUACACUGAAAGUGUCUAAAUUGCAUAUUAUCUAUGUGUCUUUUAUACCUAAUAAUGUUCCAUUGGUGAUUGAGACCCAGCAAUAUAUGUUUGCUGGGGGUCCCGUGGGUCUUUAUUCUGGUCAUGUACUUUCUUGUUAUAUGAAGUCUUAAAUUUUAAUUUUUC
RNAcentral lists this long non-coding RNA (347 nucleotides) under Panax ginseng (ginseng). RNAcentral describes it as "long non-coding RNA (PGIN_LNC006970)". Lineage: Eukaryota; Viridiplantae; Streptophyta; Magnoliopsida; Apiales; Araliaceae. The record is from RNAcentral.